This 429-nucleotide ribosomal RNA is filed under the name Pseudomonadota bacterium. Its description in RNAcentral is "Proteobacteria bacterium partial 16S ribosomal RNA". It matches the Rfam family "Bacterial small subunit ribosomal RNA", at positions 355 to 776 of the family's 1533-position model. Lineage: Bacteria; Pseudomonadati; Pseudomonadota. The record is from RNAcentral.
UGGGGAAUAUUGGACAAUGGGCGAAAGCCUGAUCCAGCCAUGCCGCGUGUGUGAAGAAGGUCUUCGGAUUGUAAAGCACUUUAAGUUGGGAGGAAGGGCAGUAAGCGAAUACCUUGCUGUUUUGACGUUACCGACAGAAUAAGCACCGGCUUACUCUGUGCCAGCAGUCGCGGUAAUACAGAGGGUGCAAGCGUUAAUCGGAAUUACUGGGCGUAAAGCGUGCGUAGGUGGUUCGUUAAGUUGAAUGUGAAAGCCCCGGGCUCAACCUGGGAACUGCAUCCAAAACUGGCGAGCUUGAGUAGGGCAGAGGGUAGUGGAAUUUCCUGUGUAGCGGUGAAAUGCGUAGAUAUAGGAAGGAACACCAGUGGCGAAGGCGACCACCUGGGCUCAUACUGACACUGAGGUGCGAAAGCGUGGGGAGCAAACAGG